GAUGAAGAACGUAGCGAAAUGCGAUAAGUAGUGUGAAUUGCAGAAUUCAGUGAAUCAUCGAAUCUUUGAACGCACAUUGCGCCCCAUGGUAUUCCGUGGGGCAUGCCUGUUCGAGCGUCAUUUACCCCCUCAAGCUCCGCUUGGUGUUGGGCGUCUGUCCCGCUUCGCGCGCGGACUCGCCCCAAAGGUACUGGCAGCGGUCGUGCCAGCUUCUCGCGCAGCACAUUGCGCUUCUCGAGGCACCGGUGGGCCCGCGUCCAUCAAGCUCACCCCCCCAGUUUGACCUCGGAUCAGGUAGGGAUACCCGCUGAACUUAAGCAUAUCAAUAAGCGGAGGA
Molecule: unclassified non-coding RNA, 337 nt
Filed under: soil metagenome
Description: partial contains 5.8S ribosomal RNA, internal transcribed spacer 2, and large subunit ribosomal RNA
Rfam family: 5.8S ribosomal RNA (bases 1-120)
Source: RNAcentral